This is a non-coding RNA of Corylus avellana, 1150 nucleotides long. The record is from RefSeq and is a predicted model, not a curated record. NCBI's taxonomy places the organism in Eukaryota, Viridiplantae, Streptophyta, Magnoliopsida, Fagales, Betulaceae.
UCUCAUACUCAGAUAUUUUUCAUGUCUCUUUCUCCUCUUCCUUCGCUCGCUUUCUGCUCUCUCUUCGCUACAAUUUCAUUGACUUUCCUCAUGAAGUGGAUUCACUGUUCCCAUUCCGCGUUUCGUUUCUUCUUUCUCUCUCAGCUAUUCCGGCCUGAGAUUGCGAUUUUCUUGACCUAGGGUUGGCAUCGAUGCUCUUUCCUGCGUAUAUUUUCGCUUAACGAGCGUAUUUUCUUGGGAGCUUGAUGACCUUGAGACGGUUUCUUUUUAGGAUCCGUUUGGCUGCCGAGACAGCAUGGGCUAGUAACGGCAGAUAAAACUAUAUUAAUUGGAAGAUCACAAGCAGAUAUCAUUCCGAAGAUGAUCUGUCUUCAGCCAUCAGUUUUAAGUUUGAUGCAAAAAGCUGAAUCUGAACAAGUGGCUCAGGAUGAUCAAUAAAGCUGUCUUGUUAAGUAAACCAGUAGUGGCCGCUGUUGCGCCAUUUAAAGCUGCAGAUCUUCUAUUCUAUUUGUGGAUUCAAGUGACAUUGAACUUCUGCCAGCUUGAUGAACAGAGUACCUUGCCACAACCGCUUAAAAACUAAAGAGAUGCCUCUGUUGCUGCUCCGGGUAGUAGUUUUAUUUGAAGUUAAAAGUAAAGCCAUUCCCAUUACAGAAAAGAUUCAGUAAGAGUAUAAUCUAUGCCUUGAACGUAAAUUCACAGAAACAAGUUGAGGACUGGGUACUGAAGAAUACCUUGACUUCUGAGGCCGGGUUCCCAAGUUGGUGAUGAUCCUCCUUUGAUUUGCUGUACCGUUCAAUUACUGAUUUCAUGCUGGUAAAAGCAUAUUCAAAUUUUAUCAGAGAGGCAGUCAUUGCUGUUUGUAACAACUUCUACAAAAAGGAGUUUGAUUCAUUUGAAAUAGAUGAUCGUAGUUGGAACUCGGAGCUUGCUAAAGAUAAUAUGGCGAUGGAUAUUAACAAGAAUUUCGAGGAUGACACUUCAACUCUAUCUAUUUCCAAUUAUGUUAAUAAUUGAUGUCGACGCUUAGUGAAGAGACUUUAUCAUGUUAUUUGUUGGAGAAUAAUCUUUUUAAAAAUUUUGUUACUACUAUGUUUGUUUAUUUAGAUGGACUUUAUUGGACUGUAAUCUUAUUUUGAUUGGAUAUAAA